UAGCUAGUUGGUAAGGUAAAGGCUUACCAAGGCGAUGAUGCAUAGCCGAGUUGAGAGACUGAUCGGCCACAUUGGGACUGAGACACGGCCCAAACUCCUACGGGAGGCAGCAGUAGGGAAUCUUCCACAAUGGACGCAAGUCUGAUGGAGCAACGCCGCGUGAGUGAAGAAGGUUUUCGGAUCGUAAAGCUCUGUUGUUGGUGAAGAAGGAUAGAGGUAGUAACUGGCCUUUAUUUGACGGUAAUCAACCAGAAAGUCACGGCUAACUACGUGCCAGCAGCCGCGGUAAUACGUAGGUGGCAAGCGUUGUCCGGAUUUAUUGGGCGUAAAGCGAGCGCAGGCGGAAGAAUAAGUCUGAUGUGAAAGCCCUCGGCUUAACCGAGGAACUGCAUCGGAAACUGUUUUUCUUGAGUGCAGAAGAGGAGAGUGGAACUCCAUGUGUAGCGGUGGAAUGCGUAGAUAUAUGGAAGAACACCAGUGGCGAAGGCGGCUCUCUGGUCUGCAACUGACGCUGAGGCUCGAAAGCAUGGGUAGCGAACAGGAUUAGAUACCCUGGUAGUCCAUGCCGUAAACGAUGAGUGCUAAGUGUUGGGAGGUUUCCGCCUCUCAGUGCUGCAGCUAACGCA
RNAcentral lists this ribosomal RNA (626 nucleotides) under uncultured bacterium. RNAcentral describes it as "bacterial SSU rRNA". It matches the Rfam family "Bacterial small subunit ribosomal RNA", at positions 242 to 859 of the family's 1533-position model. The record is from RNAcentral.